GCAUCCAGCAUGGGAGAAAGAUAAAGGCUGGAAGACUCAGCAAGGCAAGUCCUUCCAGCUUCUUCCUGCCUUAUUCCAGCCAUGCUGGCAGCUGACUAGACAGUGCCCACUCAGAUCAAAGGUGGGUCUGCCUCUCCCAGUUCACUGACUCAAAUGUUAAUCUCUUUUGGCAACACCUUCACAGACAUACCCAGGAACAAUACUUUGCAUCCUUCAAUCCAAUCAAAAGCAAGUUAGUUACUUCGUAGAUACAAUGUUAACCAUCAUGCCUGCUGUUCUUGCAUAUGGUGUUCCAGCACUCAUUGCUCAACUUUCCAGUGAUAUAGCCCAAAGUCUCCUUUUUGUCACCCACUGCUCUUCUACUCUUGGUCAAUGGGCUUUGCCUAUGCUAAUCACACUGCCCAGAUCCAGGGAUGGGUGCGUGAUCCAGCCUGAUCCAUCAGCAUAGUUCACCCUAGCUCCAGUUGUUGGUUUAGGAAUGAGCAUCUGACACAAGUGGGAUAAAUUCAGUCAAUGCCAAGGCUCUUAAUGACACUAUUAGGCAAGUGUCACUGUCUUUCUGCUGUGGAAACUGCUGCAGUGAAGUGUUAGCCCGCAGCUGCCAGCAGCCACCUCUGCCUUCUCAUGAACAGAGCCUGAGAAUGGAGCCAACACAGAGGAUACCAGACCCAAAAGAUGGAGAGGGACAUUUGAGCCCCUAAAUCUAGAUCUGCCUGUAUGCUUCAGUCCUUGCACCAAUACAUGUCCUUUCUCUCAAACCACUUUGAGUUGAGUUUUCAUUGCCAGAAAUUGAAAGAGUCCUGACUAAUGUAUGUACAUAGAUGAACGAGUUUCAUGCCUAAAUGUUUGAUUGGAGAUUGAUCCUGGACCAUUACACCCAUGGAGAACUGUGAGCUCUGUUAAAACUCUUCAAAAGUUUCCUGUUGCUCUCAGGAUAUAACCUAAACUCCUUAACCAUGGUUUGAGAGCCUUCAGUAGUCAGGACCUUGCUGAUCUCUGGCCUCAGCAUGAGCCACUUUUCCUCCCAAUUUAUAUUCUGGCCACACUGGACUUUAAGUUUCUAGAAUGUACCAUUGUCUCCUGCUUCAGGCAUUUGUCCUCUUCCUUGAGCAUGCUUCACCUACCUAAGUCCUACGAUUCCUUCAAUAUCAGCUUAAAACUCACCCUAUCACUGCCAGGGCUCCACAGCAGUUCUACCUUCUAACACUCAGCACACUUGCAGCCAGGCGUUCAAUGCCUGCCCCUACCCCAGAAUAUAAGCCUCUGCAAGAGUCAGAUAGGUGCUGCUCUAAUCUCCACGCUAUCACUAGGACGCGAAUAGAGACCCAACAAAUAAAUAUUUGUUGAAUACCUGAAUGAGAUAAAUAAUGCAGGCAACCCUAAGUACGUGGAAGUGGAGGAGAUCUAAAUUAGGUCUGAGACCUUUGGGUCAGCCAGCUACGCAUAAGGUGAUCAAUGCCCAGGCCAAGGUGGUAACUCUAGUAAGAGAAAGGAACAGGGAAGGGAAAGGAAGGAAACUCUAUGUGGAAACUGAGAACGGAAGAACCAAAAGAAUUUGACCGGCUUUGAUGAAAGCUAGAAAAAGUAUCUUUAAAGAGACACCCCAGCCCAUGAACCAAGUGCAUAAGAGGAAUGUGCAGCUAUUGGCAGGGGCAGGGGCACUGCUUCAGGACACAGUUAUGCUGCUCAUGUAGGACAAAGCCUCAGCAUUUUGCAGGACCCAGCAGGGAUGAUGGGGGCAGAAGACAGGCCCUUAACUGGUGGAUCCUGAACAGGUCCAUCACAGUCAGUGGUGGAGGCUAGAAUGGAGCAGAGAGCUCAUCCUGAGCUUAUGUCCCCGGGAACUGACAGAGUAUCACGGGAAAUUCUGUCCUCCAACUCCACCUGGCUGAAGCUGAGCUGCAUAGUAAUGGGUGCUCCUCAAACAAGGUGCCUGCAUUGUCCUCACAGGGGCAGCCAAAGAGGUGUUUACUGUUUGGAUUUUCUCUCCAGAGCACGCUUGCUGUUCUGGGAAGAUCACGGAGUGAUUUGCAUAAUUGCCUUCUCAGGUGAUGAUUGCUCAGACCAAGGAAGAAUUUCAAAAAGCCCACCUGCUUGCCUUGCUGUGUAGCAUAAAGGACAUAUUUGGGAGGGAGGAAACAAGUCAACCAAAGGGAGUCAGGUAGCCCUGGCUGCCCCUUCAGGUGGGAAGGUGUCAUGGAAGCUCAGAACCCAACAUUUCUCUCCACAGUUGCUUUCCAACCUCCAUCUCCACUUUCCAAACUGUAGCCCUGGGAAGAAGUAAGAACCAGCUAGGGAGAAGCCAACUCAGGAAGCUACCUAACAGCUACAAAUCCUUCAAUAUCAGCUUAAAACUCACAUCAUCAAGUAGGAAUUCCUUGGUUCCAGAAGAGGCUGGCCUUUCACUGUCAGGACUCCAUGCAGAGUCCUGACAUGGACUCCUUCUUCUAACACUCAGCCCACUUGCCGCCAUGUGUUCAAUGCCUACUCCCAUCCCAGAAUGCAAGCCCAUGAACAAGUCCAGUUCUGUGGGCCUGCAAACACCAUCUGAGACUCUACCAUUUGCUAGUGAAAGAGACCAAGGAGCCCACAGUCAAAUGAGGAAGGAGGCAUAGAGAUAAAACUUGGGAAGAUAAGUAAUAAACAUAGGGUUCUUUGGAACAUGGAGGAGGAGCUUUGAGCCCAGCUGAGGCAGGGGUGUGUAUCAACAAAGGCCUCCUGGGGGAGGUGACAUCUGAAUGGAGCCUUGAAAGAAUAUAGUGCCUGGUACAUAGUAGAUGCUCAAAUACCCAAGGAUGAAUGGCCCAAUAGCAGGAUGGAUGGGGAGGUAGAUGUUCCAGGGAGAGAAAAAGCUGGCUCAGUCCAUUCUUCAUCCCAGAGCCACAGUGAAUUCUGAAGCUAUUCUAAUGCCUUGUAAACAGCACAACGUUUUGCAUGGUGUGUAGAAUGUGGGGUGUCUCUUCUGUUAUCAUUUUGGGUCAAGAAUAAAGUGCUCACAGGAAUAAAGUGCUCAUGUCAGCUUGUACUGGGGGCUACUGAGACAGAAAAACCAAGGCUCAGCUGACUCCACCUCAAAUCAACAGGAUGCUGUUUAAAUAUGUAAGAGAUUCACCGGGCCACUGCCUGCACUGUCUAGUUUUCUUCGAAGUGUAUGAAAAAUGUGCUUAAUAUUCAUGCUCCAUUCCAAAGAGGCACAGAUGGGGGCCAAAGAGGAGAAAACCAUUUUUAGUGAAAAAUGACUAGUGUCAUGUCUCCCAACCCAAACUAAUAUAUUUCUUGAGGCUGACCUUAAGCUACCUCCUACAGGAAGCCUUCCUCAACAACUACAGAUUCUGCAUCCCCCUCCCUUUCUAACUUCUUUUCACUUCACUCCUUGCCACAUCUCUACUUGAGGUGUCAGCUAUUUUGUUCACGGACUGUGUGCACAUCUUGUGGUCUCUCCACCUCCCAGGUUCCCAGAAACAUAUGUAAGAGGAGCUCAGUUUUAAGGAUAAGACUGUGUGCACAUCUUGUGAUCUCUCCGCCUCCCAGGUUCCCGGAAACAUAUGUAAGAGGAGCUCAGUUUUAAGGAUAAGAACACUGAGAUCUAGAGAGGUGUAUAGCACCCACUUGCCCCAAGGUUGCACAGCUCAUAACUGCAGGAGUCAGGCUUCCAGCCUGGACUCGUGCCCAGACUCUGCUCCCAACUACACUUCUACCAGCCCCCUUCCCAUCUCGCAGCCUCCUCAUCUCAUUUCUAGUCCACUGCUGUCUAUGUUGCACCGCUGUUUUCUGGGUGCAUUGGGUCCCAUUGUCUUGCCUCCUGAAGAAUAGGGUGAGUGGCUUAGGAGAACAGAACCAAGUAUUCACAUUUUCAUUUCUGUCCCAUGCUCCUUCCCCAUUUCUGGACGCAGAGUAGGUGCUGAUAAUAUGAAGCACAGAGAGAAAAAUGUCAGCACAAAAAGGAAGCAUCUGUUCUUGGGCUUUCAUUAUUCAGAUGAGAAAACUGAAGCUCAGAGAGGGGAAGUGACUGAAAUAUGCAUUGGACAGAAUUGAGAAGAAAGCAGGCUAGCUCCUGCUACUGUACUUCACACGUAACAGGUGCUUAAGUUAUGCUAUUGUUAUAUUAUAUAUUAUGUAUGUUCCAUAUAAUGUAUAAUAAUAUGUAUAAUAUAUAUCACCAUCAUUGUCAUAAUUUUAUCGUUGUCUGAAUGAAACCAUUAAACUCAGCAUGUCUUGUCAUUGGGGAGUUCUGAGGGUUUUCACAAACAUGAGUCUUUAGUUCAUGGAGCCAAUCAGGAGGACUGAAGUGACUGACUUUCAGGAAAACAAAGGCCAACAGAAAGAUGAUAAGACAUUCUUACAUUUGUAAAGUAUUUCACAGCAGACAACUUUCUUAAAAGAAAGAUUGCUAAAUUUGGCAUUAGGAAAUCUGGGACUGAGACCACGUCUGCCACUGGAUGACUUUGACGAAGUCAUUUGUUUUCUUUGAGCUUCAGUCUCCUUUGUAAGAUAAAACUGUGAGAUGAACUCAGAAAAGAAAAUUGUGGAGCAGGCAGGGCCCAACUCCCCAUUGCUGUGCUCAUAGCAGCCAUCAUUAAUUGAUCACCACACUCUUUGUGCUAUGCCCAGGUGAGGCUUCAGAAUCUGUCCCCGGAAACCACUACCCGUUGGCUGGCAUGAACGUGUUAGAUGAAACCAAUUUGUUACUUUCAGUAGAUGCCUGUACAGCCAACUCCAACUUUGACUUUCUGACUCCAUAAGUCUAUCACACAUCCAGCAACCUGACAAGAUUGGCAGAGCAGGCCUCACCCCUCUACCCCAUAGGAACAAUCUGAGCUCAGAUCAGCUCAAGUUUAGAUAGUUGGCGAGUGGUGGUGGAAUCAGACAUUAGACCUCUCUAAAUUGGCCUGGUAAGAACAUUCAAUAGUCUUACAUAUUCCCUGGCUACAAAGGACUCCCAGUCCCUCAGAGUCAAGGACCACGGUAAAAUGAGGAAAUAACCGAAAGCUUCAUCAUCCUUUUCACACCGCAAGGUGGCUGAGUGAGAACCUCCCUUCUGGACAGGUGAUACCAUGCUGCAAAACCAGGAAGUAGGUGAAGUUGUUGAUUUCUUUCACUUUCAUCCUCGUGUCAUUAGAAGCCCAGUUCCUCUUGACAGAAUCUCCCAACCACCACCCACUCUGCUGCUAUACCCCAUCUGGUCACAUAUCCCUCAGAUUGUUUCCAGAACUUUCUUCUUUCAUUUGAAAGGGAAGUUUGUUGGUAAUAGCUUAGAGUGAGACCUCAUUCCAUUGAAGGCAGCUGCCUGCGGUGGUGGAAAGAGAACUGAGGCUGGAGUCAGAACAUAGAGCUUCUUGUUCUGCUGCUGUGGCCUUGGGGAAAGUUGCUGUUCUUCUCUUGACCUCAGUUUCGCUUCCAGCUUACGAUUUCCAAGAGAGAAGUGUUUAAUUCUUGGCUAACAGGGCAAAGUGCUCACGGACCUCAUCCCUACACUGGUGGCUGGUGUGAAGCCUGGAGAAUAAACGUGAAGCCACAACUCGCAGGGUUCCCAGCCUAUCAAAAAGGUCCUUUCUCUCUCCCCAGGAUGGAAGCCCUUUUGCUGAUAUGGGAUUGCAAAGCCUGAACAGAAGCAGGGAUCAGAGCCCAGAUAAAGGGUUGGGCCUCUUGGGGUGGAGGCCCAGUCUAGUCCUCUUCCAGGGAAAGGUGGCUUAAUAUUCUCCCUCUAUCAUCCUGUCUCCUCCUUUCUAUCCCUUGUCCUAGACCCACCUCUGUAAUCUGAACCACUUUCAUUUAAGGAAACCCAAAGUCAUGAUCUGUUUUCUAGGAAAGUCAGAGCCAAAGACAUGAACAGAAAAGAAAAAAAAUUGCUGACAAGUCUCAGUGGGCCAGGACCUGAAAAUCAAUUUGACACAUCAAUUUUUUGGAUUUAAUAACUCAUGCUCCCAUGGAAUCAAGGUCAUAAAUAGUAAAGAGAGUUCCAGGCAAGCCUACCAAAAUCUGUUUGACUCAGCUGGAGACCUUGAUCCCAUCUCUCUGCUCUGUUCCCAUUAAUAAUUUCCUCUCCUAGAUGCUUCCUCUCUUUGGUUUGGUUCCCACAUUAUUGCCCUGUCAAUGAUGUUUGCCUACAUUUCUGUCUUUUCCUUCUCUGCAUCUCUCCUCUUCUUCCCCUGUUCAUUGAAUGAAGUCAUCCCACAAGGCUCUGUUCUUUGCUGUCUGGACUUCUCAGCCUACAUUUAAUCCUCAGGAAUGUAAGUCUCUCCUUUUAAGUUACCAUGUUGAAGAUUUCCCCCAGUUCUUCUCAGUAACCCCCAAAUCUCUAGCCAUUGGAUGGCUUCCUCAACUGGAAAUCUGGCUGAUCCUUUGCUUAUCUUCAGACGUCCCCUUUUUAAAUUUCUCUGUCCCCAAAUUGGAUGGACGCUCUUGGAUCAUCUGCUUGAAUGUCACGUUUUCAAUGAAGCCUUCCCUGGUCUCCUUAUAUAUUAAUACCCCAUUUGCAGAUCCAAGAUCAUCUGUAAAUGGGGUAUUAAUCCCUUUCUCAAAUAACUGUUGAGUGAGUUUAACAAUAUGAUUCAUCUACAGGUGCUUUGAAAUGGUCCGACUGUUACUUGGUCUAAUUCAGUCUCAGACUGCUGCUUGUGAAAUGCCUACCCUCUAUUUCCAUAGUCUCAUAUAGUGAGUCCAGCUGUAUACUCAGGGACUUGUGUCCCCAUUCCCACAAUAACCUGCCCAGCCCUGAUCCCACAUUCUAACUCUGGAUUUUCAUCAUGCAUGGACUCCUGGUAUGAGCCCAGCCUAGUUUUCCACCUCACCUGUGCUCCAUCCUCCCAACUGCUCUCUUCCAACUGGAGAGCCCACGUGGGCCCAAGGAAGGCAGGGAGGAAAGUGACAUUGUUGAGCCCUGUGCCCAGUGAAGUACGUAUGUGAGCUCAUCCAAUCCGCAGCUACUCCAGGAGGAAGGCAUAAUUAUCCUCAAUGCACAGAUGAGCAAACAGAGGCUCAUGGAGGGUCAGCGACGUGUCCAAGGUCACUGACUCAUCAGAAGGCUGCUUUGUUCUCACUCCAUCAGACGGCCCAAGGAGAAAGGUAAGACAGAAAGAGGAAGCCACCAGGACAAACUUGUUCCUGCUGUGAUACCCUUAAACAUCAAAUCAUGAGAUUAGGUGGUCCUGGGGGUGGGUGUGGACAGAGGAGGGAAAAGUGGCUGUACCGAAGCAAGGAUGGAGGGAGGAGGGUGCCUGUGCUCAGCCAUGCUAAUUUUGACAUUUUCCUGUGCGUCUGCUUGUCAUCAUCAACUUAUAAUUUAACCUCGUUGUGGCGAUGCCUCUGGAAUGUCAACAAGGCUUGCUGGAAUUUCAUUACAGCCAGGCAGCUGGCCUCUGGUAUUUCGGAUACAAAUGAUGUGCAGCUGCAUUCUGGCCCUGCUGUCUUCAUCCCCCAUCUAGCAAACGGCAGCAUUAGGCACACUUAAUCCAGAGAGAUAUUCCCUACGCCGAGAAGAGGGCUUGUCAAUUCCACCGGGGGCAUUUCCUAUGGACUGCUCUGCCUGAGCCAAUUAACCUAGAGUAAUUGCUGAAAAGCAUUAGAUGUUGAUGAUGGAUGCAGGGGGCUGACCCCAGGGGUGGUUGGAGGGAAAGCGCUGAAAAAUGAAACCUCCCCAUAUCUGCACAACAUUUGCCACUUUCAGGGCACCUCUGCCUGCAUCGUAGCAGUGGUACAGUGAUCUGUGCUGGAAGGUUGUGGCAUUCUCAUUUUGCAAAAGUGAACAUCAAAACUCAGAGGGAAAAAUGAUUUCAAGUUAACCAGAAUAAGAAAACAGAAAUCUGGGUACACAAAGUCCACAUCUAGAUUUCACAUUUAUCCAACAAAUAUUUAUUGAGUAGCUACUAUGAGCCAGGCAUUGUGCUUGUUUGAAGGAUACGUUUUUCUAUCCUUGAUAACCAUGGCAUUUUUUUCUGUAGGAUUUUCCUUUCAGGCCCUCUCCUAAGAGAGAUUCUUUCCCAAUCCCCUACAUCCUAUACCUUUUACUUUCCUCUUCCCUCUGGCCCCAUAGAGAAGGUUUUGAUGUCUGUCGAUUCCACAUGAGUACACGCAGGUUUCCUUGUCUGCCCCUCCCAACAAGAACCUCAUGACACUGAUCGUUCCCAGGGACGGAGAAGGCCUGUCCUGUUACAGGACUCCUGCACCCUGUGAGCAGGCUGGAGAGGAAUCUGGGGUCAGUGGUCUUGCUGGCUCUGAAAGCAGUGUCUGCAGCUGCCUGCCGGGCACAUAGGUUCAAGCGGCCUUGCUAGCUCAUGACAUCAUGGUGCAGUAUGGAGGUCCUGGGCCACAGUUUCAGUGCUGUCUGUGACUCAUGGGCUGUGGAGUCCUGGUGCCAGCCCUUGAAGGUGGGGCAGGAAAGCGAGGCACAUGAGUGAAUUCAUAGCUGAGACCACACCGGACCUGGAUCUUUCCCAGGUUUGAAGGUUGAAUGUGCCUGUGCUGGCCAGGGCUUGAUGAGCUUCUCCACUGGAUGUGUAAAUCCCACUCAAUGUUCCCUCUUAUCACACUCAGGCCCUAGCCACUAGAAGCCUCAUUUGCCUAAGUUUUUGUCCCAGCGUUUCCAUGAAGGCAGAGAGAGGAGCUAUUUGCAUGGGGUCAGAGAUACGGGAGCCCAGGGCUACACAGAAAAGAUGGCAGGGAGCCUCUCACACCGCAGUCAAGUCAAGGCAGUCCAGGGUGGCUGCUGGGGCCAGACUGCCCCGUCAAGAUCCAGCCUGCUUCUCACUGACUGUGUGAGUAGGAUGUCCUGCCCUAAUCCUGGCCUUUAGUUUCUGCAACUUCAAAAUGAGGACAAAAUAACCUCCAAGGUCCAGGUUACUUUCCUAUACAGAGCCUGGAACUGUGCCUGCCCCCAUAGUGCACAUACACAGCCAGCUAAAGGAUGGUGUGCCUGGGGUGGGUCUGCAGGGCAAGUCCUAUUUCAUAGUUUAACAUUUCUGACACCACCUGUAUCAAAUUCCUAUGUUUAUGGUAUGCUGGGAGAGUUGAGUCAAGGCCAGACUGAGGGUGACUCUGGCCCUCUGUGCUGGGCCUGCUCUCUGCAGAUGCCUCCAACCCUGCCUUGGACAGACGGAGGAGUGAGUAGGAAGUGUUAGGAAGGGCCUGGGGUGUGGAAGAGCUUCUAACCCCAUCAGUAAGUCCUGGUGCAUAUGGAGGGAGAGCAAGGAGGGCUUCUAAACAUAGGUCAUAGAUAAACUCAAAACAGAAUAAACACGCUUAGGGGGUUUAUAGAAGAAAUAGUAUCACAAAAGGGCUGAGUGUAAGUACAGAAGUGGACAGGACAACCUUAUUGUGUCUCCUUGGUGACAGCUUCAACUAGAGUUAGUUUACAGACUACAUGUAAGGUGUUGGGCAGUCAACCCCCAGCUGGUUCAGGGGCCUUGGUCUCUCCCGGAAGUUGUCUUCCCCAAGUCUAUGACUCAUGACCAGGAGAGAGGAGGGUGGGCAGUGAGUUGAAUGAAGGCAAAUCACCCUCUAAAGCCUGGACCCAGGCCAUGACACCAAUCCAUCAGAGCGGGGACCUUGGCCUGGCGUUGUCUUAGGGGCACAAGAGUGACCAUUCACACUACCUGCCUCUAUCCUUCCUUCCUUCCUGCAUGAGACCUGGUGUAGCCGCUGCUCCAUGCCUACCACUGGGUCAUAGAAACUCAAGAGUUUCCCUGGGGCAGCUGCCAGGGAGUGAGGUGAUCAGAAACCCUGACUUCUCCCCACCACCCAGCCAAACUCCACCAAGCCCAGGAGUGGCUCUCCCUGAGCCUGGUGUCCCCUCUCUGCACAGAGUAGUUUAAGAAAUCCAGAAAAGUCAUAACCCUCAGGAAUCCACACUGAAUGUGAGCUGGCAUCAGCCCUCUCUGCACUGGGCCUCCUCAGGUACUAAGAUGGGUUAUAUUUGGGGUAAGAGGGGACAGAAAGUCCUCAUGUGUCAGGAAAAAGUUACAAAAUUCCACCCCUCAUACAAGAACUCUCUCACUUUUUCCUCCUCUGAGCAUUCUGCAGAGCUGGGGUGAACCACGUUGGCCAUUGUGAAAGUGCAAAUUCAGGAAUGCUGAGAUCAUUACUCAAGGUGACAUCACAUAUAAGUGGCCAGCCCUUGACCUACAAGGUCUAAAUCCCAUUUCUGUCUUCACACUUAGAGGCCUCCAUUUCUGCUUACGCACUUUCAAUAAUGAACUCGGGAACUCAGUCUCUCUUGAACGGACCUCCACAUAGAAGAGCCUCAAGUGGUCCAAAGUAACUAGCCUUCUCUCUGUGCCUCUUAGGCCUCCUCUAUUCUUUCUCUACUGGACACAGCAACAACAAGUGUCCGAGUCACUUAGUAUUCCUGGUAUUCUGAGUUGGGCUCCAACUGGGGUGAGCCUUGUAGAUUCUCAGACAGCAGCAUCAAGGGAUGUGGGCUUCAAGCCAAGUCAGAUAAUAGUAAAAUAAUAAUAAUAAUAAUAAAGAUAGAGACACAAACACAAGGACACUGGGGCAAGCAUAAGAGGUUAGAUCCACAAACAGAGACAAAUAGGUGCUGGGAGCAUGAUGGAAGGACACAUCUCCACUGACAGCCACAUAUUUUCAGGACCCAAGAGCCCAAGGACAGACAGAGCUCAAGCAAGGCUCUGAGUGAGGGAGGUGAGAAGCUGGAUGAGGGCUGGCCUUUGUGUCUCCAUCUCUGCCACUUGACCAAGAUCAAAGAACUUCCCCAGAUGAGCUUAGACAUCUAGAAAUGACUCUGGGCGAGAAGAAAGGGAGACGAGGAAGUGAAAGGAGUGAAAGAAUGGGCCACAACACAUAUGGAGAUGGGAUGGCAGGGGAAAGGAUGAGGAGCUUGGGAAUGGGAAGAAGUUUUCUGAGAACUUCGGUAGGUUGAGGCAACAGGUUGUGGUGGAUGCUGUGAUGUGCUUCCCAGGUCCCUCUUCAAGAAGGAAGGACUUAUCUUACUACUUGCUGGGGAUGUUGCCUGCAGAAAGUUCUCAGUUGCCAGCUCCCCAUGAGGUUUGCCCUAACCCUGACCACAGAGAGCUGCCUUGCUCCAGAUCAUGCCUUCUUUACAGGGCGGUUCACAUCCGAUGACAGAUCCAUGGAAAGAUAUUGAGGCCUGAACCCCUUUCCCUAUCUGGAACAACUCUGAAGGCUCACUCCAUUUUCACAUUUCCCAUGGCAUCAGGUAAGAUGCUCAUUGAGACUGCAUCACAGCUCAGCUUCUCCUUCUGCCUAAUCCUGCUUUCUCCCCAUUCCUUCCUUAAGUGUAAUUUUAUGAGUUCUUCCUAAUAAACCAUUGCAAGUAAAUAUCUAUUUCAGAGUUUCCUUCCUGGGGACCCAAUCUGUGACACAGGUUUAAACUCUGAGCAGGAAGUUUUCAUUUUGCCUGGCCCACAGUUUACAAAGAACAUUGAUGGCUUCAAUCUCACUUGAUCUUCACAAUAACUUGGUGAAGUGGGUGGUACUGUUCUUACUUAACAGAUGAGGAAAUUGAGGCUGGGAGAAGUCAAAUUACUGUUCAAAGACCAAAACGUCAAGGAAUUGAUGGAACCAGGACUUAAAGCCUGGUCUGUUGGGCUCUCAAAUGUAUGCUCUUUCCUCUCUUGCACAGUUUCUAAAGAAAAGAAAGAAGGAAGGGAGGGAGGAAAGGGGGAAAAAGGAGAAGAAAGAAGGAAAGAAGGAAAGAAGGGAGGGAGGGAAGAUUAGCUAAUAUCUAGCACUUAUUCUGAGCUAGGCACCAUGCUCAGCAUUCUACAUGCAUUAUCUUAUUUAAUCCUCACAACUUUACGACAUAUGUAUUAUUUGUAUCCCUAUGUUAUAGAUGAGGAAUUUGAGGCUCAGAGAAUUGCAACGUUAUCUAAGGUCACACAGCCUUGUGUGAGGAAGGGGCUUGACACAAACUCACUUCCAUCUGACUCCAAGUCAGGCAUCUUAAUCACUACUAUCAGGGAGAAUCGGCACCAACCAGAAGGAUGAGGAGCCUAAAGAAGCAGUUGUGGGCUAGAGUAUUGGGGAAUCCAGAGCAGCUAACCAAGAUGCUAAGCGCCUGAGUAAAUGGGAAGCUUGGACAGAUCUGCAUCCUUGUUCUCCUGGGAGAAGACAGGGCCUGCUUGGGGGCUGACCCAGUUCAUGCCUGGAGCCAUUGCUUGGAAAUUGCACCCAGCCAAUCCCCAGCCAUAAUUACCACUAGGCUUGCAGCACUGGGCUGAGAGCUGGAAAUAGCUCUGCAUUUAUUUACCCUGCAAUUACAUGCUACAUUAAAUGCUCCGCAAGAACAUGGCGAUCACCCUGCAAUUAACUGGUCCCUGCUUCCUGGGCAAGAGAAGGCUGGAGACAGUUACUGGGUGAAAUCAAGUGCUCCCUGGUUUCUUAAUGGGCCUGGGGUCACCUUGUAACUUAUGCUGGUGGACCUGGCCAGAGGCUGCAACUCCAAGUGGGAGCUUCUUCAGCUCCUGAAGGAGAGAGAUUAACAUCUGGGUCAGAUCUGAGUCCAACUUUGCUACAGGUUCUGUAACAAGAUCGUCUAUUAGUGGGUCCUUGCCCAUACUGUCUUCUCUAGCUCCUCCCAAGGCAUCUGGUGUCUCUCUGUAUUUUACUUUUGGAGUUCCUGAACUCUACCAGCCUUUGCAUAGGUCAUUUCCUAUCAUGUUGACCUUGUAAAGUCCUAUCUACCUUUCAAGAUUCAGCUCAACUGUCAUCUUCUCUGGGAAGUAUACUUUGAAAGGAGAUUGUAUAGGAAAGUGAAAAUCAGACAUACUUAUGACAAAAUACCAGCUUCAUUACUUAAUAGCUAUGUGACUUUCAGCAAGUUACUUGGCCUCUCUGAACCUCAAUAUAUGUGUGUAUGUGUACAUGGGUGUAUAGAAUUCCCUGGUAUCAUAUGCAUAUACACAUUAUGUGUAUACAUAUACAAGAACUCAAAGUCUUCUAGUUAGGGACAGAUUUUAGCAAGGUGGAAACAGCAUGGUACCUCACACACAGUAGGUGUGCACCACAUCUUUCUUGAAUCAAUGAGUCAGUGAGUAAAUCAACCAACCAAUCAAAAUAAACCAAUUAGGAACUGUUAAUGUGUGUGUACCCAUGUUUACCUUUGUGGCUGUCCGCUUAACUUGCUGCAUAUAAACAAGUAUACCAGUUAUUCAAAAACAUAAUAUGUGCACAUGAUGGUAAUUGGUCUCUAGUUGCCUGGAGAGUCCAGAGAACCGGUUCCCAGGCUGUGUGGAUAGACUAAGAAUGCCAGGAAAAGACACUAAGAAAAGAGUUAAUUAUAUAUUUACUACCUCUGUCAUUUGCUCCUAAUUAUGUCUUGGCAAGCUGUGUCUCCUGGAUGAGUCUUAAAUCUCAGUGUCUUUAAAAAUAUAAUAAUAAAUCAAUGUGAGAUGAAAUGCUCCCAACAGCCAAAAUGCCCCGGACAGUUUUCAAUUAGUGAGAGCGCCAGUGAACAGUUCUGGCCCCAGUUUCGAUGAUGUUUGGGCCUUAGGAACCAGAUAUGGAGCCAGAAAAAUAGUAAGAGAGCAGAGCUGUGUCUAGAACGUGUCACUGAGGCCUCUUCUCAAUCUUCUGAGGGUCACCUGGAAUCCUUUCGGCCUCUGCCUGCUGCCAAUGUAUCAUGAGGCAACAGAGGAGGAAGUUAGGCAUGUAAAUUCAUGAGCCACCCUGGUGCAUUUUUCUUGGUUUCUGGACUGUGAAGACAAGGCCCAUUUACUCAGCCCUCUGUAUGUCAGUGACUCUCAACUGGGGGCAAUUCUGUCCUCCUAGCAGACAUUUGUAAAAGUCUGGAGUUAUUUUCAGUGGUUACCACUUGGGGAUUUUGCUACUGGCAUCCAAUGGGUAGAGGCCAGGGAUGCUGCUAAACAUUCUACAAUGCACAGGAUACUCCCACCCACAACAAAGAAUUAUCUGGCUUAAAAUGUCAAUAAUGCCCAGGUUGAGAAGCCCUCUGUUUGUGCUGGCAAGCUUGGGCCCUGGCAGCAUGUGUCCGUGCUGUCUGUUCCUGUUGUCACUCAUUCUGUUUUUCAGACCUCUUCAUGUUCUUUUCUAUUUUGGUUUCUAAUAAGGGACACAGGCACACACAUGCUCAGAACAAAUGCACAGCCUUCCUUCCCCAUAACCCCUUUUUGGCUGCAAUCGUAUUCACUGAGAAUUAGUCAGCCCUCUCCAAGGGAGGGGAGUGGACACUCACCUUGACAGCCUGUGGGCACCUGCACAUGCUGGCUCUUUCUCUCCUCCCAGGGAUAAGACCACACUUCUCUCACUGGUCCCAAUGGGCAUAGCAAAAGCAACAAAGUUGUGGGGCUUGUUGGUGCUUCAUCGAACAGGCCUAGGCAGGAGGCCCAGUGCAGCCCUGUCUGUGAGAUGACCUGGGAAUCUGUGUUUCUUAUCAAGUGUCAACACACACGCCCAGCAGUUUCGCUCUGUUCCAUCCCAAGCAAUCAAAUACGCCUACAUCAUGCAAGCAAUUUUUAGGUCUCCUAGUUUCUAUUAUUAGAGCCUCUUGCCUAGGAUUCAAAGGUCCAUGGCACAUAAAAGGGCCAAGAGGAAAUUUCCUAGGAUUUUCUCAUGUAGUCUUCACAACCACCCGAUGAUGCAGACACUUGUGCAUCCCCUUCACAAUUGGGGGAAAGAGGCUCUAAGGACAGAACAGUGCCUUUGCACUGCAUGAGUCAGAUCUUGACACUUGUCUGUCUAAGCUGGUGCUGGAAAUAAUGAAGCUGAGACGGAAACACCAGUCCAUUUGACCCUAAGCAAGGCAUGGGCUCUUGACACUACAGCUGUUGCUGAAAGGAGAUGGAGGAAGGAGAGGCAACAAGAAUAGAAAGGGGUGUUUCUGAGCACAAGAGCAGAGGAAAUAGAAGGCAUGGAUUACCUCUUCAACCCUGACAUUCUCCUAGCUCAUAAGCACAUCCCUGUCCUUUAACAUCUGGGUGUCUUAGAGGGCACCAGAAACUUCAGACACUGAAAGGAAAGACAUUCUAAAAGGUGGAAGGAAAGUGGCAUUUGGGGACUGCUAUAGGCAGUCUGAAUAUAGAUGUGAGUGAUAAACAUAUGGGGCUCAUUACUCCAAGAGGCCCAGGCUUCUUCUAAACAGGUGUCAGGAGAAUUUUAAUCAAAGCCUCAAGCCAUGAUGAGUUAUUAAAGGUAUGGAGGGAUAUGAGUAGGACAUUUCAGCUCAGUCAGCUUCAAGAACACCUUGGAUAGACCAUAGGCAGAUGGGCACUUGGGAAAUGAUCUAUAUAAAGUACCAUAAACUUAUCUGCAAAUUAUUUCCACCCCAACCUCUCCCCAGUCACACACACAACUUUUUUCGAAUCCAGCAUUUCUCAACGUGUGUCCCAUAGAGCAGUACCUCGUAACUUUAGUGUGCACAGAAACUUUAAUGUGUCCUCGGAGUGUCCAGGGUGGGCCUGACAUUCUGCGUCUCUAACAAGCUCUCAAGAAAUGCUGAUGCAACUGGUCUACAGCCCAUACUUGAAUGGAGAGGUUUUAGAAUACUGGCUAAGCAAGAUGUUAAUGGUCUUUAAGGGAAAAGAAAAGAUUCCAGAGGCAAAAUGUUUGGGACAUACAACAUUAAGUUUAACGAGUAUCUGAACUACCAGCAGAAGAGGGCAGAGUGUAAUACGUUUAAAGCUGUUAAGAGGCUUUAUAGAAAACAAAAGGAGUUCCAUGGUCAAACACUUUUGGGAGGACCUGGGUUAAGUUAAAGGAGUAUGAAGAACUUCUCAGUGCCUUUACACUGAGUCAGAUCUUGCCACUCCUCUGUCUGAAGCUGGUAAUGUAGAAGCCUUUACAUUGGCUGAUAAGGCCCCCGGCACUUCACGCUUCCUUCUCCCUAUGUCCAGGUACACAGGCCUUUCCUGGGAAGAAAAAAUAGGCAUCUCUUUGCCUCAGGGUCUUUGCCCUGGGUCUUUCCUCUGCCUGAAACAUUCUCUGACAGCUAACUGUCUAACUCCAUUGCCUUCUUCUUUUCUCAAAGGCCACCUUUUAGAUGAGACUGCUCUAACCACCCUAUGGAAUUCUAUAACCUGCACCUCUUGACCCUGGCAUUUGCAAUCCCCCUUAUUUGAACUUUCUUUUUUAUUUUCUUCCAAUGCAUUUUCACCUUCAAAGACACCAUACAAUUUCAUAAUUUAUUAUGUUUAUUGCUUAUUUUUUGUCUUUCCCAUUAGACUGUAAGCUCCAUGAGAACAGGAAUCUGGUUUUUUUCCUUGCAGUAUUAUGAGUACCUAGAACAGUACCUGUGCUAUAGUAGGUACUCUAAAUAUUUGCUGAAUCAGCAAUUGAGCAGCUGUCCAAAGUGAAGUUCUUAGUAGGAGUGGAAUAUAGGAAGCAUCAUUCUCCAAAGGCUUUUCAUUGCAGAACCUAUUUAUUUCUUAUUUCUUUUCCAACAGAGCAUCUCAGCAUGACCACUAUUCCUAAAUGCACAUUUUCUAGGAAAUGGCUGCUGUAGUAACUCACUGAGAAUCCAGCCUUCAUCCAUUUUCCUAAAUCCUUCUAGGCCUAUUCAUAUUCAUCCCCUGACAAUCCCAGAGUGAUGAAUUCCAUAAGUUUAUUACCCACAGUAUAAAUUUGUCUUUAAUUCUGCAAGAAUAAUGUCAUGGGAGGGACACUCACUUCCCGCUCGCCUGCAAAAGAUCCCUCGAUGCUGCCACGGAGAAGAGGCACAGGGUUUCACACCAUGUCUUGUAAGCCAUAGGUGCUCCAUAAAUUCAUAUUUAACCCUCAAAGUAAUCCUUUGAGGUGAGUCUUAAUCUCCCAUUAUACAAAUGAGAAUCUGGGUCUCAGGGAGAUUAAGUAGCUUACAGAGCCGGAAUUUGGAUAAAGGUCUGCCAUGCCUUAAUGCUCACAUACUCUCCACAACACCAAUGUGGCAAAGCUCACAAAAUGGCAUUUUCAAAUGCCAAGGUAUGGAAUCAGAGACUUGGGAGCUGUGUGUCUGUCCAGAGUGCCUUCCUCAUUAGCAGUGGCCAUAGCACAGCAAUAAUAGCUACUGCUUAUUGAGUUUUUACUAUACACCAAUCAUUAUUCUAAGCAUUUUACAUGCAUUAAGUAUUUUAACUCCUAGAACCCUAUGACCCUCACUUUACAGAUGAGGAAGCUGAGGCAAUUAAAAAAAAAGUUACAUAGCAUAUUACCUUGCCCAAGGUCAUAUGGCUGUAGAGCAGCAGCAUUACUUAUGCCAGAAUCAGGGGAAAAAAAGUCAGGCAAGGUACAGUUUUGAACCAACUCAGCUGCUCCCAUGACCACCUCACUAUGCUCUGGUGCUCAGGGCCAAAUCCAGCUCCUCCUUCCCUCUUAGGUCCACCCAGUGCUCCACAGCAGUCUUGUCCCAGCCUUUGCAUCUGUCUCCCACCACUCUGAUAUACAAGAACCCUUUUAUGGAUGGGAGUGCAGUUUACAGCCUUCUGUCUGCAAUCCCUAGCAACCCUUUCCCAUACAGCUUCCCCAGAUGAUCCAUGCUGGGCAGCUAGGGACUGGCACCAAGAAGGCCCUUGGAGACCAUCACAUUCAAUCUCCUCAUUUGAAAUCUGGGAAACCUGAGAUCCAGAGGAGAUGCUGACUUGCUGAACACACACAAUCAGAAAUAAACCUAGACUAGGACACAGGCCUAGAAAUCCCAUUCCAGUGUCAUUUAACCUAUUAGCCAACCAAACAACUAACCAACCAACCAACCAACCAGAAAGCAUUUACUGAAGUAUUGUUAGGUGAAAGUGCCAAGGAGUGACCAGGGUUUCUGCUCUAAUGCCCACUGACUUAUCAUUUGUGUUCACUUAUGCUUUCCUUCAUUCAUUUCUGAAUUCAAUACAUUGUUAGGCUCAAGAAAUAACAUGAUAAAAAGACAAUCUCUUCUAAUGCAUGAGACAUACUUUAAUAAAAAUAACAGAAGUAUAUUCAGAAUAAUAAACAGUAAUAAGAGCUUAAAGACAUAAAAAAUGUUUAAGGUCUUUUGACAGCAUAUAAUUUGUGAGGGAGACAGGAAGGAAUGUGACCUAGCCUGGAAAUCAAAGAAAACUUCCUGGAAGAAGUGGCAUCUGGAGUGAGAUUUAAAGGAUAGUAAGAGUGCAUUACACUAGAAGGAAUUAGGAGGAAGAGCAUACAUGAGAGACCUGAGACAGAAUGAAUGUAACAUAUUUAGAAAUAUAAUAAUGUAAUUGUGAAUGGUAUAAUAUAGUAUGGUGUGGUGUAGAUGCAUACACAUAUAAAAUACAAGGCACUUUCCAGGGAAAGCAACUAACCUUUACUGAAUGAUUGCUACAUGCCAGUCCCUUUAUUACCUCCUUACUCAGUGGGAGGUAAUUGAAUCAUGGGAGCAAGUCUUUCCCACACUGUUCUCAUGAUAGUGAAUACGUCUC
Molecule: long non-coding RNA, 18338 nt
Organism: Cercocebus atys (sooty mangabey)
Lineage: Eukaryota; Metazoa; Chordata; Mammalia; Primates; Cercopithecidae
Exons: 3
Source: RefSeq, a predicted model, not a curated record